Molecule: long non-coding RNA, 568 nt
Filed under: Pan troglodytes (chimpanzee)
Lineage: Eukaryota; Metazoa; Chordata; Mammalia; Primates; Hominidae
Description: long non-coding RNA NONPTRT010258
Source: RNAcentral
CCUUCCAAGUAUUGUAUCCCAUGUGUCUGAUGUAAAAAACUACAUGGUGAAAUCCUCGGAGCCUAGACAGCCCUGAGACCCAAGAUGUGCAGCCACCCAGCUGGAGGGACCUCUCGGAGGACAGCAAAGGCUGGCCUGUUCCACACCCUUGCUGGGCCCAGGACCCACUGGCCAGCAGUGCACAGCCCCACCAGUGACUGUGAGCCAGGCCUGCAGAAGAAAGCCUGUGGAGGCUUUCCCUGCCUCCGUGUCACGGGGGCCACAUUGCAGACUCUGCAGCGAAUCACCACCGCAGGUGGUUCAGGAUGGUCUGUCACAAAGCUAUAUACAGAAGCACAGCAGGGAAGCUGCGCGCCCCUCCCCGCAGCCUUAGGUUUCAAAUAGCGUUUCUCAAGCGUCAGCACGCACGGAUCACCUGAAGAGCCUGUCAAUGGGCAGAUCCUGAUCUGAACAUGCAUCUCAUGCUGCUGCUGCUGCGUUGGCCCACGGGCCUCACUCUGUGCAGUGAGGGUGUGAAGGAGUGGAUGGCACAGAGCUGUGAUCUGAGCCUACCCCUUCCUCACGCAGG